RNAcentral lists this ribosomal RNA (740 nucleotides) under uncultured bacterium. RNAcentral describes it as "bacterial SSU rRNA". It matches the Rfam family "Bacterial small subunit ribosomal RNA", at positions 8 to 796 of the family's 1533-position model. The record is from RNAcentral.
AGAGUUUGAUCAUGGCUCAGAGCGAACGCUGGCGGCAGCUUAACACAUGCAAGUCGAGCGGGCGUAGCAAUACGUCAGCGGCGGACGGGUGAGUAACGCGUGGGAACAUACCUUUUUCGGAACAACACAGGGAAACUUGUGCUAAUACCGGAUAAGCCCUUACGGGGAAAGAUUUAUCGCCGAAAGAUUGGCCCGCGUCUGAUUAGCUAGUUGGUGAGGUAACGGCUCACCAAGGCGACGAUCAGUAGCUGGUCUGAGAGGAUGAUCAGCCACAUUGGGACUGAGACACGGCCCAAACUCCUACGGGAGGCAGCAGUGGGGAAUAUUGGACAAUGGGCGCAAGCCUGAUCCAGCCAUGCCGCGUGAGUGAUGAAGGCCCUAGGGUUGUAAAGCUCUUUUGUGCGGGAAGAUAAUGACGGUACCGCAAGAAUAAGCCCCGGCUAACUUCGUGCCAGCAGCCGCGGUAAUACGAAGGGGGCUAGCGUUGCUCGGAAUCACUGGGCGUAAAGGGUGCGUAGGCGGGUCUUUAAGUCAGGGGUGAAAUCCUGGAGCUCAACUCCAGAACUGCCUUUGAUACUGAGGAUCUUGAGUUCGGGAGAGGUGAGUGGAAUUGCGAGUGUAGAGGUGAAAUUCGUAGAUAUUCGCAAGAACACCAGUGGCGAAGGCGGCUCACUGGCCCGAUACUGACGCUGAGGCACGAAAGCGUGGGGAGCAAACAGGAUUAGAUACCCUAGUAGUCC